AAUAAGAUAGGAUAUUUAGUCUGUAAGGUUCAUACCCUUGAGGUUUUCUUAUUU
Molecule: transfer RNA, 54 nt
Filed under: Allodiplogaster sp. MY-2022
Lineage: Eukaryota; Metazoa; Nematoda; Chromadorea; Rhabditida; Diplogasteridae
Description: tRNA-Met
Source: RNAcentral